AUCCUUUUAGAGUAUGAUAAUACACCAAGUUUCGACCUUGGGCAAAAAGAUAUAUUUCUUUUAUAAGAUUA
This 71-nucleotide transfer RNA is filed under the name Ryssota otaheitana. RNAcentral describes it as "tRNA-Arg". The record is from RNAcentral. Lineage: Eukaryota; Metazoa; Mollusca; Gastropoda; Stylommatophora; Chronidae.